Molecule: ribosomal RNA, 830 nt
Filed under: Lactiplantibacillus plantarum
Lineage: Bacteria; Bacillati; Bacillota; Bacilli; Lactobacillales; Lactobacillaceae
Description: bacterial SSU rRNA
Rfam family: Bacterial small subunit ribosomal RNA
Source: RNAcentral
UGCAGUCGACGAACUCUGGUAUUGAUUGGUGCUUGCAUCAUGAUUUACAUUUGAGUGAGUGGCGAACUGGUGAGUAACACGUGGGAAACCUGCCCAGAAGCGGGGGAUAACACCUGGAAACAGAUGCUAAUACCGCAUAACAACUUGGACCGCAUGGUCCGAGUUUGAAAGAUGGCUUCGGCUAUCACUUUUGGAUGGUCCCGCGGCGUAUUAGCUAGAUGGUGGGGUAACGGCUCACCAUGGCAAUGAUACGUAGCCGACCUGAGAGGGUAAUCGGCCACAUUGGGACUGAGACACGGCCCAAACUCCUACGGGAGGCAGCAGUAGGGAAUCUUCCACAAUGGACGAAAGUCUGAUGGAGCAACGCCGCGUGAGUGAAGAAGGGUUUCGGCUCGUAAAACUCUGUUGUUAAAGAAGAACAUAUCUGAGAGUAACUGUUCAGGUAUUGACGGUAUUUAACCAGAAAGCCACGGCUAACUACGUGCCAGCAGCCGCGGUAAUACGUAGGUGGCAAGCGUUGUCCGGAUUUAUUGGGCGUAAAGCGAGCGCAGGCGGUUUUUUAAGUCUGAUGUGAAAGCCUUCGGCUCAACCGAAGAAGUGCAUCGGAAACUGGGAAACUUGAGUGCAGAAGAGGACAGUGGAACUCCAUGUGUAGCGGUGAAAUGCGUAGAUAUAUGGAAGAACACCAGUGGCGAAGGCGGCUGUCUGGUCUGUAACUGACGCUGAGGCUCGAAAGUAUGGGUAGCAAACAGGAUUAGAUACCCUGGUAGUCCAUACCGUAAACGAUGAAUGCUAAGUGUUGGAGGGUUUCCGCCCUUCAGUGCUGCAGC